ACCAACGUCUCCCUCGUACCCUCGGCAAUCUACAAUUUCAAAUUAAUUUGUAUCGCAUUACUUUGUAACCAAUUCUGGGGUAGCGUAUCUCUUUAACCCCUUAUGGACCAAACUUCUGGAAUAAACACAUCAUGUGUCCUUAAGGGGUUAAGUAGAAUGCGAGAUGGACGAACGCAAAGAAGCAAGUAGUAAGUAGCAAGCCUUUAUAGAGGUUUUUGUAAAUAGUAAAACAUAAUAUUCACUCCUAUUGUUUUAGAGAUGUGAGCACACAAGGGCUAGUACUCGCCCAUCUUCGCCCUGUUUAAUUACAGCCUCUGAAUUUCCAUUCUCAGCAGGGAUUCCUCUUUAUGCCCUGCUGACUCCCUCUCUCUUCGGUUUGUUCCUUCAGCGUCUCUUACGUCCACUCAGUAUUCCGCAAGUUAUAAAUUUGUUAUCUUGUGUAUAUGUAGAAGGAAGGGAGUCAUUUCAAAUUUUUUUCCUGCUUCUUCUCUCUUGUUUCCUAACUGAUUGGAGAGUUUCUCAUGGUGUGCUCACUUUGCAGCACUGCUCGUCUUUCGGCGGGCUUCUCCCCAUCCACGGACAUACGUAGCGUGCGUUCCUACAUCAUUCCCCCCACCCCCCAAUAUUUCCUCCCUAUAUACUUUUUACACCUUCAUAAACAGUAUUAGACUGUCCGAGCUACCUCUUUAAACUUUACUAUUUCCUUUUCCUUGUUUUUGGUAAAUUUUGGUUUACUUAGUAUUGUUACCCUUUUAAGUAUGUAUCUGUAACGGCACCCUCGACAUCAAACAGUCAAAACCGCCGUUUAGUUAAUCCUCCCCGCUCGCAAUACUGUAAACUCCAUUCGUAUAGAAUCCAAUUGUACGAACUGCAAGCAGGGGAAUGCGCCAACCUCCCGAACGGGACCUGUACGGAUACUCCAACUCUCGAGCGGUAAACCCACGAAUCGCUGCUAACAGCCGAAUCAAUAUAUCAUCCAAGCGGCUUACGGUUCCAGCAAUCAGUCACUAUUCGUGUGUAGUAAAUCCCCCCAAUAACGAGACCAAUCUCCGCAUUGAGGGUAAAACAAGAACUGGGUUUACUGUGGGCUACCCGCCCAUAUUUAUGCAGGUCUCCCACUUGGUGGACACUCCCCUAGGGGACCAAAUGGGAGACUGUAAUGGCAGACAGACAUUUAGCAUGUUAGGACACACAGGCACAUAAUAUUCCCAGCAUGCAUCAUGGUUUCCUCCCCUCUGCCCUGGAGAUAAUUAAGAAGUAAUUCAAUUAUCUCCCAGGACAGAGGCAAAUCGCCAUUUUAGAUGAAACAUAAAAACCACAUAAAAAUAAAUAAUUACACAACUACCGAACAUAUUCCAUUCGUGCAAUGUGUCCCCAGAUAGCCUGGAUCUGAGUGCAUAUUCUUAGCGAAAAGCGCUCAGAUCCCAUACAUACAGUUCAAUCGCCAUGGAGUCAAAGUCUUUUACAGUCUUUCGGUAUGCGAUUGACUCCAUGGGAAGGCUAUCUGGGUUAAGUCCAUUCGUGUAGUCCAAACUCCCGAACGGCCGGUGUUUGCAUGCUUUUGUCGAUUGAGAAGGGCGGUCUGUGGUUUUAGCGGUGUUCAGCAGAAAAAGUGUCCAUUUUUAGUUCCAUAGAAUCUGUGCCGAACACCACUGGUCCUUUGCAUGGUUUAAAAUGGCCGCCGCCUCGUGGUCGACAUACGAACAACAACCACCCUGUAUUCGGUUAUAAUUGAGAGGUGUCUGCGGUUAACCACAACGUUCUAAUUGGGAUCAAGAGGUUAACCAGCAGCACACUUCUCUUCUGGGUGGCCGUCCGUUCGGUAAGUUCAUUCGGUAAAAACGUCAAAUAAACGAACAGGGGCAUACGGACAGGUAAUUCCACGAAAAGAGGCAAAACAGACGAACCAGCAAUCUUAGUCUAUACAGAUGGAUCUUUCACAGUAUCUAAUAAAUGUUAUGUUUUAUAGACAUUACCUACAUUUGUUUUUAGGAUAGUUAACGUUCUCUUCUCUCUUUAUUGCAUUCGUUGUGUUGAGCUAUUUCAAUUGCUUUUGUUUGCUUUGUUCAUUGCAUACAGCUGAAAGUCUGUAAAUUUUGACAGUACACCUGAUUUUCAAUGGCGGUUGAAUAAUUUUGAUUUCAACUGUAAGUAUUUAUAUGAUACAAUGUUAAAUUCUCCCUUCAGAGGUUCUUUCAUACUACAGAACAUACUGCACAAAUGUACCUGCCCAGUGCCACUCUGUCUGGGGACUUAAUCACAUUAUUCCCAGCUAACUCAAGUGGUUCCCUGCUGUUCCGGCUAUUCUCAGAUCCGAGGACAAGUUCCAGGCAAACUUAUCCAAGGAACAGUUCCAGGGUGUUUCAGGGUACCUCGAAGUGUGAAAAUAGUUCUGGAAAUCCACAGAGCUCCUCAAGUGCGGAAGCACAAUAAGCAUCCAGGGCACCCCACAGUGACAGCAGCCCCUUUUAGGAGGCUGACCUUCAAGCCACUCCAAAAUGAUGUGGCACAGGAAAUUGUUACAGUCUCAAGUUGACCUCUGUCUAUGAGGGCCAUGAAAUUAAAUUUUUGGAUCUCAAGAUGAUCAGUGACCCAAACUCCACGUGAAAAAUAUGGACAUAAACAGUUUCCACAAUGGGGAAAGUUACCACCCUGUACCCCUUAAGAGGGGUAUUACCUAUGGGCAAUACUUAUGAGCUAGGUGCAAUUGUACAACAGAUAUUAAUUUUAAAACUGAAGCUAACUUAGACAGUACUUUCAAAUCAAAGGAUAACUUAAUAAAUUGCUAAAAAGUACGUAGAAUCGUCCAUGUCAGUACUAUCCAGAUAAUACCAGCCAAAAAACAUUCAAGAAUGAUGAAGUGAUCCACUGUAUCGCCACAUAAAGGAUGACACCACCUUUUGCCUAUUGUUCAGAAUUACUGGCCCAUGCUCACUACAGUGAUAUAACCAAGGACAACAGUCACAACAAGACUGACAGAAAACCUUGUGGAUAUUUUAGUCCACAGCCAUCUAUCGAGUCAAUGCAUCACCAAGCCCUUGCUCACACAACCACGGGUCAUCUUUAGAUAUGUAAGGUGCAAAGUGUGCCCUUUCUAAAAAUAUUUAAAAGAAGCUGUUAGUUCUGUCUGAAGUAAAUCAAUAUUAUUAAGGGCUUUGCUAACUGCUCCUCGACAUAAUUUAUUUGAUCACACAUGAAACAAAUAGUAUAUCGGUAAACAGUCAACAGUUCCGAAGAAUUCUACAACAUGUCUAUUCUGUGCAUUUGAGACAAGACACUUCUGUCACAACAUAUCCAUCAGUUUCAUUGUAACCAGGCCUCACAUCUCAGCUUCCAGGCUGUCGAAAAGAUCUCUCUAAGCCAUGCAGAGGAAAUCCAAGUCACAGACUGCUCCAACAUGAGUCCUGCUUGAUUUUUAAAUUGAAAACCCAGAUAGGUUGCAUGAUGAUUUUGAACACUUGCAGUUUAUUAAAUAGUCAGCCUUUAUGUAUCUUCUGGAAGAGUCCUACAUGUAGCAUUUUUUAAACCCAUUAUGUUAACCAUGUUGUCUUGGAACACAAAUUUUCUUUCAAAUAUUUGUAAUUACAGACUUUAUACAUUAUAUUUUUUUCUAGUUAUUAUUAUCAUUUUUACUAAUUUUUUAUUUUGGCUUUUUUUUUUUGUCUACAUCAACAGGGAGUGCUAUAGCUGUUCUAAUAUGAAUUGUCUUCCCCACUAGGGGGAACCACGACUAUGAGUUCUUAUGGAGUACUACAUUCUCUUGUAACUUAUAAUGUUCAAUUCCAUAGACCAGUGGUUCACAAACUUUUUAGGUUCAAGGUGCCUUUAUUAUUUUAAUAUUUUUCCAAGGUGCCCCAAGUCAAAACAAAUUUUUAGGUUGCGUAUCUGUACAGCGCAUCAGCAUAUACUGGAGCUAUAGUGAAAUGUAUAGUGUUGGUGUUUAAAGGGGUGCUUGUAUACAGGGAGUGCAGAAUUAUUAGGCAAAUUAGUAUUUUGACCACAUCAUCCUCUUUAUGCAUGUUGUCUUACUCCAAGCUGUAUAGGCUCGAAAGCCUACUACCAAUUAAGCAUAUUGGGUGAUGUGCAUCUCUGUAAUGAGAAGGGGUGUGGUCUAAUGACAUCAACACCCUAUAUCAGGUGUGCAUAAUUAUUAGGCAACUUCCUUUCCUUUGGCAAAAUGGGUCAAAGAAGGACUUGACAGGCUCAGAAAAGUCAAAAAUAGUGAGAUAUCUUGCAGAGGGAUGCAGCACUCUUAAAAUUGCAAAGCUUCUGAAGCGUGAUCAUAGAACAAUCAAGCGUUUCAUUCAAAAUAGUCAACAGAGUCGCAAGAAGCGUGUGGAAAAACCAAGGCGCAAAAUAACUGCCCAUGAACUGAGAAAAGUCAAGCGUGCAGCUGCCACGAUGCCACUUGCCACCAGUUUGGCCAUAUUCAGAGCUGCAACAUCACUGGAGUGCCCAAAAGCACAAGGUGUGCAAUACUCAGAGACAUGGCCAAGGUAAGAAAGGCUGAAAGACGACCACCACUGAACAAGACACACAAGCUGAAACGUCAAGACUGGGCCAAGAAAUAUCUCAAGACUGAUUUUUCUAAGGUUUAUGGACUGAUGAAAUGAGAGUGAGUCUUGAUGGGCCAGAUGGAUGGGCCCGUGGCUGGAUUGGUAAAGGGCAGAGAGCUCCAGUCCGACUCAGGCGCCAGCAAGGUGGAGGUGGAGUACUGGUUUGGGCUGGUAUCAUCAAAGAUGAGCUUGUGGGGCCUUUUCGGGUUGAGGAUGGAGUCAAGCUCAACUCCCAGUCCUACUGCCAGUUCCUGGAAGACACCUUCUUCAAGCAUUGGUACAGGAAGAAGUCUGCAUCCUUCAAGAAAAACAUGAUUUUCAUGCAGGACAAUGCUCCAUCACACGCGUCCAAGUACUCCACAGCGUGGCUGGCAAGAAAGGGUAUAAAGAAGAAAAUCUAAUGACAUGGCCUCCUUGUUCACCUGAUCUGAACCCCAUUGAGAACCUGUGGUCCAUCAUCAAAUGUGAGAUUUACAAGGAGGGAAAACAGUACGCCUCUCUGAACAGUGUCUGGGAGGCUGUGGUUGCUGCUGCAUGCAAUGUUGAUGGUGAACAGAUCAAAACACUGACAGAAUCCAUGGAUGGCAGGCUUUUGAGUGUCCUUGCAAAGAAAGGUGGCUAUAUUGGUCACUGAUUUGUUUUUGUUUUGUUUUGAAUGUCAGAAAUGUAUAUUUGUGAAUGUUGAGAUGUUAUAUUGGUUUCACUGGUAAUAAUAAAUAAUUGAAAUGGGUAUAUAUUUGUUUUUUGUUAAGUUGCCUAUAAUUAUGCACAGUAAUAGUCACCUGCACACACAGAUAUCCCCCUAACAUAGCUAAAACUAAAAACAAACUAAAAACUACUUCCAAAAAUAUUCAGCUUUGAUAUUAAUGAGUUUUUGGGUUCAUUGAGAACAUGGUUGUUGUUCAAUAAUAAAAUUAAUCCUCAAAAAUACAACUUGCCUAAUAAUUCUGCACUCCCUGUAUAAUUUUAGUGUUUUAAUACAGGGGUGUGUUUGAAUGUAAUGUUCACUUUUAAAUGCGGAUGUACAUUUGUUUAAAGUAUUUGUGUUUGAGUGAAGGGGUGUGUACAGUAUUUUGGAGUUUGACUGCAUGGGUUUGUUUGUAUGUAAUAUUCAGGUAAGAUUGCAGGAGUGUGUUUAUAUGUUGUGCUGGUGUUUGACUGCAUGGAUAUAUGCACAUAAACUGCCACAUACAUAAAUUCCUACACAGAUAUACAUGCACAUUAAAACACAGAUACAUAUAAAUACACCAACGCAUACACACAAAUUCAUAUAGACACCGACACAUACACAAACCGACAUAUAUACACACACACAGAUGCACACUGACAAAUACACACACACACGUACACACAGACACACACACUGACACAGAUACACACAGAAGCACACUAACAUGAAAACACACACCCUGACACAAUGAUGCACACCCUGACACACAUAUGCACAUACACAUACACAGAUGUGCAUGCGCACACACACACACAUAUAUACACACAGAGAUGCACACUCACAUAUAUACACACACACACUGAUAAACACUGACAUAUUUACACACACAGAUGCCCACUGACAUUUACACACACACACACACAGAUGCACACUGACAUAUAUAAAUAGACACACACACAGACACACACUGACAUAUAUACACAGACACACAGAUGCACACCAACAUAUAUACACACACACACAGAAGCACACUGACAUAUUUACUCACACAGAUGCACACCCUGACACACACACUCACACAAUCUGGCAUACACAUACAAGUAAUUUUUAUUUUUUUAUAUCUCCAGCCACCCUCCAGUUAGCUUACCUUGUGUGUCCAGGAGGGUGACCUGGUGUCCUGCUCCUGGUCUUGCUGCUGGCUGGUGGGAGUGCGGGGUCUGGAGCAGCUCUUCAUGCUCCCCUCCCCUCAUGCUGCGCUUAACUCCUAUCCCUUCCGCGCUGUCUCCCUGCAGGAAACUGGGAGGAAGUGACAGGCUGUCACUUCCUCACAGCCUGCUGACAUUAUAGAGGCCCUGUCUCGGUCUUGAAAGGCCACAGCACCUGACCGAGAUGCUGUUCAGUAGUAAUGUUUCCUGGUGUUAUAAUCAUUGCACCGGAGAGACGUUUUGCGGCGCCCCUGUGUGCCCGUCACAGUUUAGAAACUGCUGCAAUAGACCAUCUCUGGGUGAGCUCUCUCAUGGUUUCCUGUGGAGUAUUUGCAACUCACUUAAUACAUAUAGGAUUAAUCCAUUAGCCACUGUCUUGCAUCAUUUGAAGAUCGGAUUUAUGCUAUGGCCUGGGGACACUAUACCUUGCUACCUACUUUUGACUUGUUCGGGUCAUUAAAUUGUGACCACUGGUUUCUAAUUUGGUCUCACUGCAAUCUUUUCCCUUUGCAACUGUUGCUACAACAGUUCCACUAUUAUUUAGCAAGGUCUCACCUUAGUUACUGUUAGAAAAUAAAGACAACAAACUGCCUCAGAGACUCUCCACUGUCUAGGUGCUUAUUGUUGAAUUGCUCCAAUCACAGAUCUGAGUGAGAGGUUUAAAUGCCCUUGCUCUCGGCAGAUUUUGAGCACCUCUGACGAGGUUUGUCACUCCACAAAGCAAAACACAUGCUGAGUGCCCGCAUUCCCACCUGCCUUUCAUUGUUCUGCCUUUUCUGUCUUUCCAAGGUGCAAGCAGCCGACAUGUAAAUAGGACAAGCUUUUGCUUUGGUCGAAAAUAGGGGUUGACAGGGAAUGGCUGUCUCAUACUUUUAGAGUUAUUUACUAAAGUUAGAGCCGGAAUAACAAAAUGGCUGCCCCAGAAAAUGUUGAGCAAGUUCAUCAUUAGAUGCAUUUGAAGCUCAGGGUGCUGUCUGCAUAGUACACCCUUAAAUUCCAGCCUGCAUGGUUGACAGGCAGCCUGCCAUGCAUUUAUGCCAGGCUGACCUGCCAAUUCUUCAGGCAGACAUGUCCUCUUUCUGGGCAUGUCUUUGCAGUGGCAGUUAUGUGACUCGCAUCAUGGCCCACUCUUUUACCCCACCACAAAAAUGUCCUGCUUCACUGAAAGGUGCUGUUAGGGGGUAUGGAUUUGCUUAAGAGAUGAAAGUAAGAGAUUUACAUAAGGCAGGCAUAGGCAACCUUCAGCACUCCAGAUGUUUUGGACUACACCUCCCACAAUGCGUUGCCAGCAUUAUGGGUGUAAGAGCAUUAUGGAGGAUGUAGUCCAAAACAUCUGGAGUGCCGAGGGUUGCCUAUGCCUGACAUGGGGUAUGUGUAUUCUUAUAGCAAUAGAAGAGGAAUGUUGUACCAAUACAAUUAUAAUAAAAGAUAUUCCCAAAGGUACUGAAGAAUAAAAACCAAUAAUAACAAUCAAUAUUAAAAAAGCCAAAAAAUGACCAAUAAAAUGUCCAAAUAAAUGUGCAAACUUGCAAGGAGAACAGCUAACUGUAGUAGUGAGGUCUCUUCGUUAUGGAGGUACCAGAUCAGGAAAUGCUUGAGAUACGUAUCUAUAUAUAUAUAUAUAUAUAAAAAACAGAGGAAACCCAAUAGUGUAGUAUGUCACGACAAUAUGGAAGCAUUUGGCUUUAGUAAAUCUGCACAUUGCAAAUUUGGUAGGAAUUUGGUUAUUUUUUUCUAUUCUGACAAAAUCAUAUGUUUAGUAUAUAACCCUGUUUUUUUUCAUUGCUUUAGGCUAUUUUAUGACAGUAUCUAGUGAGCUUGCAAAAAAAGUGUAAUUCAAUAGGCAGGUGUAGACUGUGCUGUUAGUCUGUAAACUCUGGACUCUGGACUUCUCAGGGUGUUAGGCCACCCCCUAGUGGACAACCAGCUAAUAUAUUUUACAGAUAUUAGGACUAUAAUACAAGUAUAUUAGGAGGUAGUGCUAGUUAUUUAUUUAUCUCUCACUUUUUGAUGUUUGAGCUUGGAGUGCACGUGCCUUAUUGUUUCUCCAAGAGAUUGAAUUUAUUUGGGUUCCCCAGAAUUAAAUUAAUUAAAGGAUGAUUUAUCCAUAAGAAAUUUGGUGCCACAAGUCCCGGGAAUGAAGGUUCACUUAUCCGGAACUGGAGAAUCUGUGUCUCUCUGACUGUGAACGAGUGCUGCAGCAAGGUUAGAAAAAGUGUUUAUUUUUCUACCUAUUACCUUCACUCUCAGAGCAGUGCUUAUUCUGUGUCCGGGUAAGUUUUGGACUUAAAAAUUGUCGUUUCCCAAGAACAAAUUUAAACGGACAUACUAUGUUCUGGUGGAAUGUCUUGUGGAAGUAGUUUACUAAAGAAUACAUAUGUGGGGUCCAAGUUAUUCUUAUUAUCUGCAUAGUUGUUUAUUUCCUGAUCAGAAUAAGAAUUCCCCAGUACAGGUACACCGACCUGUGUUUAAAUUGAAGACAGGUUCUGUAAUUAAAUUCCACUAGUGGUCCUAAGUGUUUUAAACUGAUUAAGUACGUUCUUGACUUAAAGUGAGCAGCUGCAUUUAAGUAUUUUUGAUGGGAAAUUCACGGAGUACUCAAGAGGAAUAUACUGCCCUAACCAUAGUGAAACAACAUAAGGGCAAAGAGGCAGUUAAAGAUGUAAAGAAGCUUCUUAAGAAAGCUAGGAUGCCUUCUGAAGGCUUCCUGGACCCACAGAUUUGGAAAGAAUUUAUGGCCAAUUUUUAAUGGAUAAUCAUUUAGUUGAAGUCGCCCAGAAAUGGCUUGAUACUGCAGUAGAUUUGACUAAAUGUGGUUGUAGAGAAACCACAAGGAAUGGGGUACCCUACUACUAAUGUUUUGGUGCCUUAGGAUCCAGCUCUACAGCUAUAGCCCCUAGUACCUCAUACAACCCACCUCCUUACCCAGGUAAGGAUGAGGGUGACCCUAAAUCUUCUCUCAAACAGACUCCUCAAGUCCCUUUCUCUACUACUAAUCCAGUUACUUAGAAAUCUUACUGGGUUUGUCCCAGAUGUGAAUGUGCUAACCCUUGGUGGGACUCACUGAUAUUGUACAAGGUAAAGUGGAAAACAUUUUUUUGCCAGCCUUCAGAUAGGCUGGUAGUUGUUAGAAUACUACGAAUCAGACCCCCUAUCUUUCAGACACCUAGUUAACUGUUUUAUGGAUGGUCUAUAUCCUCCCUUACACACUGCCCUUCAGGCAGCAUGUCCUGGAUGGAGAGGACUCAAUUACUUUGAUUUAGUUAAAGUAGUCAUGGGGGUAGAGGCUAAUUCUAAAACACGAAAAGCAAGAGGAGGUUUGCCUCUGUAUCCAAACUAGUUGGACUAGAGACUACGGUCAGUAUGGUGGUAUCAGCUCCACCUAUGGGCUUGGACCCUAUGAAUAUAAUAGAAUUGACACAAAGGAAGAGUAGCUCCAAACAAGGGGGCGACUCCAAAGCUGAUAUAUGUGCAUAAAUAGAAGAAACUAAUACUAAACAGCUAAUUAGCUUCCUUCCAAGUUUUUAAAGUAUUGGAGAUCUAAUGCCCCACAGCUAGAAACUGUUACCAUAUGUAUCCAAAAAUUACCAAUAACUUUAUUUCAUCCUUAAACAGUGGUACAAAUGGUUUUAUCGCUGGGUGGCAAGAAAAUACGCCUUCUGAAGUAGCCCAGUCAGAGUCCU
Pelobates cultripes (western spadefoot toad) is the source of this 10114-nucleotide non-coding RNA. Lineage: Eukaryota; Metazoa; Chordata; Amphibia; Anura; Pelobatidae. The record is from the annotation of a GenBank genome assembly.